Molecule: ribosomal RNA, 253 nt
Filed under: uncultured bacterium
Lineage: Bacteria
Description: partial 16S ribosomal RNA
Rfam family: Bacterial small subunit ribosomal RNA
Source: RNAcentral
UACAGAGGGGGCAAGCGUUGUUCGGAAUUACUGGGCGUAAAGGGCGCGUAGGCGGCCUUCUAAGUCGAACGUGAAAUCCCCGGGCUCAACCCGGGAACUGCGUCCGAUACUGGGAGGUUUGAAUCCGGGAGAGGGAUGUGGAAUUCCAGGUGUAGCGGUGAAAUGCGUAGAUAUCUGGAGGAACACCGGUGGCGAAGGCGGCAUCCUGGACCGGUAUUGACGCUGAGGCGCGAAAGCUAGGGGAGCAAACGGG